RNAcentral lists this small RNA (125 nucleotides) under Marmota monax (woodchuck). The record is from RNAcentral. Lineage: Eukaryota; Metazoa; Chordata; Mammalia; Rodentia; Sciuridae.
GCUGGGUGCAGUGGCGCAUGCCUGUAAUCCCAGCAGCUCGGGAGGCUGAGGCAGGAGGAUCGUAAGUUCAAAACCAGCCUCAACAAAGGAGAGGCGCUAAGCAACUCAGUGAGACCCUGUCUCUA